Molecule: ribosomal RNA, 248 nt
Filed under: uncultured bacterium
Lineage: Bacteria
Description: partial small subunit ribosomal RNA
Rfam family: Bacterial small subunit ribosomal RNA
Source: RNAcentral
AGAAUCAACGCUGGCGGCGUGCCUAACACAUGCAAGUCGAACGAGAAAGCGGGGGCAACUCCGUGAGUAAAGUGGCGUACGGGUGAGUAACACGUAGCUAACCUACCCUUGAGUGGGGAAUAACUUCGGGAAACCGAGGCUAAUACCGCAUAACACCUACGGGUCAAAGGAGCAAUUCGCUUAAGGAGGGGGUCGCGGCAGAUUAGUUAGUUGGCGGGGUAAUGGCCCACCAAGACAGUGAUCUGUAU